GGAAGCUGUAGCUCAGCGGUUACGACGUUGGACUACUGAUCGGACGGUUGUGAGUUGAAAUCCCAGCACUGCCA
Molecule: non-coding RNA, 74 nt
Organism: Ameiurus melas (black bullhead)
Lineage: Eukaryota; Metazoa; Chordata; Actinopteri; Siluriformes; Ictaluridae
Source: the annotation of a GenBank genome assembly